AGUAAGAUAAACUAUUGGGAAGUUAUUAGACUCAUAAUCUAAGUAGGAAGGUUCAAUCCCUUCUCUUACUA
Molecule: transfer RNA, 71 nt
Filed under: Cyanea nozakii
Lineage: Eukaryota; Metazoa; Cnidaria; Scyphozoa; Semaeostomeae; Cyaneidae
Description: tRNA-Met
Rfam family: tRNA
About the family: Transfer RNA (tRNA) molecules are approximately 80 nucleotides in length. Their secondary structure includes four short double-helical elements and three loops (D, anti-codon, and T loops).
Source: RNAcentral